GACGAACGCUGGCGGCGUGCUUAACACAUGCAAGUCGAACGGAAAGGCCCUGCUUUUGUGGGGUGCUCGAGUGGCGAACGGGUGAGUAACACGUGAGUAACCUGCCCUUGACUUUGGGAUAACUUCAAGAAACUGGGGCUAAUACCGGAUAGGAGCUCCUGCUGCAUGGUGGGGGUUGGAAAGUUUCGGCGGUUGGGGAUGGACUCGCGGCUUAUCAGCUUGUUGGUGGGGUAGUGGCUUACCAAGGCUUUGACGGGUAGCCGGCCUGAGAGGGUGACCGGCCACAUUGGGACUGAGAUACGGCCCAGACUCCUACGGGAGGCAGCAGUGGGGAAUAUUGCACAAUGGGCGGAAGCCUGAUGCAGCAACGCCGCGUGCGGGAUGACGGCCUUCGGGUUGUAAACCGCUUUCGCCUGUGACGAAGCGUGAGUGACGGUAAUGGGUAAAGAAGCACCAGCUAACUACGUG
Molecule: ribosomal RNA, 468 nt
Filed under: uncultured bacterium
Lineage: Bacteria
Description: partial 16S ribosomal RNA
Rfam family: Bacterial small subunit ribosomal RNA
Source: RNAcentral